CGGUCCAGACUCCUACGGGAGGCAGCAGUGGGGAAUAUUGCACAAUGGGCGCAAGCCUGAUGCAGCCAUGCCGCGUGUGUGAAGAAGGCCUUCGGGUUGUAAAGCACUUUCAGCGGGGAGGAAGGCGUUAAGGUUAAUAACCUUGGCGAUUGACGUUACCCGCAGAAGAAGCACCGGCUAACUCCGUGCCAGCAGCCGCGGUAAUACGGAGGGUGCAAGCGUUAAUCGGAAUUACUGGGCGUAAAGCGCACGCAGGCGGUCUGUCAAGUCGG
RNAcentral lists this ribosomal RNA (272 nucleotides) under Klebsiella pneumoniae. RNAcentral's name for it is "partial 16S ribosomal RNA". It matches the Rfam family "Bacterial small subunit ribosomal RNA", at positions 327 to 591 of the family's 1533-position model. The record is from RNAcentral. Lineage: Bacteria; Pseudomonadati; Pseudomonadota; Gammaproteobacteria; Enterobacterales; Enterobacteriaceae.